RNAcentral lists this transfer RNA (74 nucleotides) under Gemmatimonadota bacterium. RNAcentral's name for it is "Gemmatimonadetes bacterium (soil metagenome) tRNA-Ile". It matches the Rfam family "tRNA". Rfam says of the family: Transfer RNA (tRNA) molecules are approximately 80 nucleotides in length. Their secondary structure includes four short double-helical elements and three loops (D, anti-codon, and T loops). RNAcentral also lists the same sequence under 2 other names. The record is from RNAcentral. Lineage: Bacteria; Pseudomonadati; Gemmatimonadota.
GGGCCCGUAGCUCAGUUGGUCAGAGCACUCGACUCAUAAUCGAAGGGUCGCAGGUUCAAGUCCUGCCGGGCCCA